GACGAACGCUGGCGGCGUGCUUAACACAUGCAAGUCGAACGGAAAGGCCCUGCUUUUGUGGGGUGCUCGAGUGGCGAACGGGUGAGUAACACGUGAGUAACCUGCCCUUGACUUUGGGAUAACUUCAGGAAGCUGGGGCUAAUACCGGAUAGGAGCUCCUGCUGCAUGGUGGGGGUUGGAAAGUUUCGGCGGUUGGGGAUGGACUCGCGGCUUAUCAGCUUGUUGGUGGGGUAGUGGCUUACCAAGGCUUUGACGGGUAGCCGGCCUGAGAGGGUGACCGGCCACAUUGGGACUGAGAUACGGCCCAGACUCCUACGGGAGGCCGCAGUGGGGAAUAUUGCACAAUGGGCGGAAGCCUGAUGCAGCAACGCCGCGUGCGGGAUGACGGCCUUCGGGUUGUAAACCGCUUUCGCCUGUGACGAAGCGUGAGUGACGGUAAUGGGUAAAGAAGCACCGGCUAACUACGUG
This 468-nucleotide ribosomal RNA is filed under the name uncultured bacterium. RNAcentral describes it as "partial 16S ribosomal RNA". It matches the Rfam family "Bacterial small subunit ribosomal RNA", at positions 28 to 507 of the family's 1533-position model. The record is from RNAcentral.